UACGAAGGGGGCUAGCGUUGCUCGGAAUUACUGGGCGUAAAGCGCACGUAGGCGGCUUUCUAAGUCGGGGGUGAAAUCCUGGAGCUCAACUCCAGAACUGCCUUCGAUACUGGAAAGCUCGAGUCCGGGAGAGGUGAGUGGAACUGCGAGUGUAGAGGUGAAAUUCGUAGAUAUUCGCAAGAACACCGGUGGCGAAGGCGGGUCUCUGGGCCGAUACUGACGCUGAGGAGCGAAAGCGUGGGGAGCGAACAGG
RNAcentral lists this ribosomal RNA (253 nucleotides) under uncultured bacterium. Its description in RNAcentral is "partial 16S ribosomal RNA". It matches the Rfam family "Bacterial small subunit ribosomal RNA", at positions 524 to 776 of the family's 1533-position model. The record is from RNAcentral.